RNAcentral lists this ribosomal RNA (204 nucleotides) under uncultured Leptotrichia sp. RNAcentral's name for it is "partial 16S ribosomal RNA". It matches the Rfam family "Bacterial small subunit ribosomal RNA", at positions 148 to 354 of the family's 1533-position model. Lineage: Bacteria; Fusobacteriati; Fusobacteriota; Fusobacteriia; Fusobacteriales; Leptotrichiaceae. The record is from RNAcentral.
AGAGGAACGUACUGAUAAUACUGGAUAAGUUAGUAUAUCGCAUGAUAUGCAAAUGAAAGCUACGGCACUAAAGGAGAGCUUUGCGUCCUAUUAGCUAGUUGGUAAGGUAAGAGCUUACCAAGGCGAUGAUAGGUAGCCGGCCUGAGAGGGUGGACGGCCACAAGGGGACUGAGAUACGGCCCUUACUCCUACGGGAGGCAGCAG